Molecule: long non-coding RNA, 448 nt
Organism: Amphimedon queenslandica
Lineage: Eukaryota; Metazoa; Porifera; Demospongiae; Haplosclerida; Niphatidae
Exons: 2
Source: RefSeq, a predicted model, not a curated record
UCCAUGUGACUGGCAGCCAUCUUCAUAAAAUCAUGAUACACCAGUGUAAACAGCACUGUUACACUCAGAGUAAAGAUUCAUUAAUGUAGCAUUACAUCCAGCAUCUUCUUUGUAUAACAGCAAUAUAUCAGACCAGAGAUAUCAGACUGAGCCACGCCUGGAGGUACAAUGGAGGGCUGAAAAGGUCUAAAUGAGUGAUUUGUUCAUUUGUGUCACUUAAGCGACUGAGUGCCAAAAAAGCGAAAUGGAAAUCAUGCAUGGUAAGUGUUGAUAAGAUUGUAAUACAUGUAACCAGUAUUACAUGUAACCUAUGUGUGUGCUUUUGAGAAAUAAGUAACUUUAUCAAACUAUUCCUUUCCUUCCUUAUUGAGGUGGCUAGGUCCAUUAUGUAACUGCUUUUUUGUCUCCAUUUCUUACAUCCCAAGCCGAUUAACUCUUUUUGUGUUUG